Molecule: non-coding RNA, 586 nt
Organism: Arachis ipaensis
Lineage: Eukaryota; Viridiplantae; Streptophyta; Magnoliopsida; Fabales; Fabaceae
Source: RefSeq, a predicted model, not a curated record
UUUUUUUUUUUUUUUUUCUUUUCUUGCCGAAAACGCUGUCGUUUUGUUUCUUUAAAAAAAGAGAGAAAAAGCCCUAACGCUGCCUAAACGGCUACCCCAAUCCCCAGUACCCCUCCCCUGACCCCUGGACCUGGAGGCUGGAGCUCUGGAAGCCUCUCUUCCUCACCUCAUCACACCAACAAUCUCGAGUCUCAACUUCUCGAGUCUCUUCCUCCCCUCAUCACACCAACACUCUCUUCCUCGCAGUCUCUCUCAGUCUCGAAGGUUCUCUUCCUCUGCUUCGUCUCGCCGGCUUCACAGUGUGUCCGAGUACGUCGGGUUCGUGGCUCCGCGUCUCUCGUCAUCGUCGUCGCGUCUCCUGCGUCGCUGCUGCGGUGCUACCUCUCCGUCGCGUCUCCUCCGUCGCUGCUGCUGUGCUGUCUCUCCGUCGCCGGAAUCUGCCUCAUCCAGGUUAGAGACAUAUAUGAUAGUGGAGAGUACCUUGUUUUGGUUACUACUGAUCGCCAGAGUGCAUUUGAUAGAAUCCUUGCUUCAAUUCCCUUCAAGGGACAGGUUCUUAACCAGACAAGCUUGUGGUGGUUUGAGA